AUACGGAGGAUGCGAGCGUUAACCAGAUUUAUUGGGUUUAAAGGGAGCGUAGGUGGGAGAUUAAGUCAGCUGUGAAAGUUUGGGGCUCAACCUUAAAAUUGCAGUUGAUACUGGUUUCCUUGAGUACGGUAUAGGUGGGCGGAAUUCGCGGUGUAGCGGUGAAAUGCAUAGAUAUGAUGAAGAACACCGAUUGCGUAGGCAGCUGACCAGACCGCAAAUGACGCUCAUGCACGAAAGUGCGGGGAUCGAACAGGAUUAGAUACCCUGGUAGUCCGCACAGUAAACGAUGAAUACUUGUUUUCGGCGAUAUAAUGUCGGAGGCAAAGCGAAAGCGAUAAGUAUUCCACCUGGGGAGUACGCCGGCAACGGUG
Molecule: ribosomal RNA, 371 nt
Filed under: uncultured bacterium
Lineage: Bacteria
Description: partial 16S ribosomal RNA
Rfam family: Bacterial small subunit ribosomal RNA
Source: RNAcentral